GAUGAACGCUAGCGGCAGGCUUAAUACAUGCAAGUUGAGGGGCAGCAUGAUAUACGCGAGUAUAUUGAUGGCGACCGGCGGACGGGUGAGUAAUAGGUAGGAGACCUACCUCAUACAGGGGGAUAGCAUAGAGAAAUCUGUGGUAAUACCCCAUGAGGUUAUAUGAAUAGAGGCAUAUAAUCAAAGCAUAAGCGAUUAUGCGGUAUGAGAGGGGCCUACUGACCAUUAGCUAGUUGGUGAGGUAAGGGCUCACCAAGGCGAAGAUGGUUAGGGGUUUUGAGAGAGAGACCCCCCACAUUGGAACUGAGAGACGGUCCAGACUCCUACGGGAGGCAGCAGUAGGGAAUAUUGGGCAAUGGGCGAAAGCCUGACCCAGCCAUGCCGCGUGAAGGAAGACGGCCUUAUGGGGUUGUAAACUUCUUUACUACGCGAAUAGAGGUUAGUACGAGAUACUAAUAGGAAGGUAGUGUAGUAAAAAGCACCGGCUAAACUCCGGU
This 497-nucleotide ribosomal RNA is filed under the name uncultured bacterium. RNAcentral's name for it is "bacterial SSU rRNA". It matches the Rfam family "Bacterial small subunit ribosomal RNA", at positions 28 to 508 of the family's 1533-position model. The record is from RNAcentral.